GAGUUUGAUCCUGGCUCAGAUUGAACGCUGGCGGCAGGCUUAACACAUGCAAGUCGAGCGGGGGAAGGUAGCUUGCUACUGGACCUAGCGGCGGACGGGUGAGUAAUGCUUAGGAAUCUGCCUAUUAGUGGGGGACAACAUUCCGAAAGGAAUGCUAAUACCGCAUACGUCCUACGGGAGAAAGCAGGGGACCUUCGGGCCUUGCGCUAAUAGAUGAGCCAAGUCGGAUUAGCUAGUUGGUGGGGUAAAGGCCUACCAAGGCGACGAUCUGUAGCGGGUCUGAGAGGAUGAUCCGCCACACUGGGACUGAGACACGGCCCAGACUCCUACGGGAGGCAGCAGUGGGGAAUAUUGGACAAUGGGGGGAACCCUGAUCCAGCCAUGCCGCGUGUGUGAAGAAGGCCUUAUGGUUGUAAAGCACUUUAAGCGAGGAGGAGGCUACUAGUAUUAAUACUACUGGAUAGUGGACGUUACUCGCAGAAUAAGCACCGGCUAACUCUGUGCCAGCAGCCGCGGUAAUACAGAGGGUGCGAGCGUUAAUCGGAUUUACUGGGCGUAAAGCGUGCGUAGGCGGCCAUUUAAGUCAAAUGUGAAAUCCCCGAGCUUAACUUGGGAAUUGCAUUCGAUACUGGAUGGCUAGAGUAUGGGAGAGGAUGGUAGAAUUCCAGGUGUAGCGGUGAAAUGCGUAGAGAUCUGGAGGAAUACCGAUGGCGAAGGCAGCCAUCUGGCCUAAUACUGACGCUGAGGUACGAAAGCAUGGGGAGCAAACAGGAUUAGAUACCCUGGUAGUCCAUGCCGUAAACGAUGUCUACUAGCCGUUGGGGCCUUUGAGGCUUUAGUGGCGCAGCUAACGCGAUAAGUAGACCGCCUGGGGAGUACGGUCGCAAGACUAAAACUCAAAUGAAUUGACGGGGGCCCGCACAAGCGGUGGAGCAUGUGGUUUAAUUCGAUGCAACGCGAAGAACCUUACCUGGCCUUGACAUACUAGAAACUUUCCAGAGAUGGAUUGGUGCCUUCGGGAAUCUAGAUACAGGUGCUGCAUGGCUGUCGUCAGCUCGUGUCGUGAGAUGUUG
This 1073-nucleotide ribosomal RNA is filed under the name uncultured Gammaproteobacteria bacterium. RNAcentral describes it as "bacterial SSU rRNA". It matches the Rfam family "Bacterial small subunit ribosomal RNA", at positions 9 to 1077 of the family's 1533-position model. Lineage: Bacteria; Pseudomonadati; Pseudomonadota; Gammaproteobacteria. The record is from RNAcentral.